This 216-nucleotide ribosomal RNA is filed under the name Campeiostachys nutans. RNAcentral's name for it is "Elymus nutans partial small subunit ribosomal RNA". The stretch from base 40 to 216 matches the Rfam family "Eukaryotic small subunit ribosomal RNA", at positions 686 to 864 of the family's 1831-position model. The record is from RNAcentral. Lineage: Eukaryota; Viridiplantae; Streptophyta; Magnoliopsida; Poales; Poaceae.
GGAUCCUACCGUUGGUCAUGCCUCUGGUAUGUACUGGUCUCACUGAUUCCUCCUUCCUGAUGAGCCGUAAUGCCAUUAAUUUGGUGUUGCGGGGAAUUUGGACUGUUACUUUGAAAAAAUUAGAGUGUUUAAAGCAGGCUAACGCCUGAAUACAUUAGCAUGGAAUAAUGAAAUAGGACGUUCGAUCCUAUUUUGUUGGUUUCUAGGAUUGACGUA